CACGCGCGUCUUCAAUAUCCUCGGUCUUAGCGUCGAGAAGGCCACCGUAGAUUUUGAAGAAGACUAUUUUGUCAUGACGUUCUUCGUAACCGAUUCCCGCGGCAACAAGAUCGAUGAUCAGAAGAGCUUGGAAAGUAUCAACAAGGCCUUGAUCGACGCAAUCGACGGUGACGAUGAUGCCGCCUUGUCUGUGGCUCCGCCAGAUAGAGGGGUCGUGGUAAGGAAGCCUCGGUUGGAUUUUGGGGAGAGGAAAGGCCAAGCUGAAAGGAUGCUUGGAUUGAUGGAUGUUUUCUUGAAGAACGACCCGAUCAGCUUACAAAAGGAUAUUUUACAUCACGUUGAGUACACGGUGGCUCGAUCGCGAUUUAGUUUCGAUGAUUUUGAAGCUUAUCAAGUAAGAUUAAAGUUUCGUUGUUGGGUUGAGAACGAAUUUUGACUUCCUUUUUAAAAAUUUGGCGGGAAUGUAUGGUAUAACUUAAGUGCGAUUGUUUAACAGGCUUUGGCGCACAGCGUAAGAGAUCGGUUGAUUGAACGUUGGCAUGAUACUCUGAUACAUUUCAAGAAGGAAGACCCAAAGCGAGUUUACUUUCUUUCGCUUGAGUUUCUUAUGGGUAUACUUUCUUACCGUUAUGAGCCUUAUAAUGUUUGGUCUAAUUAAAAUGAUGGAUAAGUUUAAGAGCUCUCGAGAAGUUUGGUUAUGCUUUCUGUUACUCUCCUAGCACCUAUAGUUUAUCAAAUCUAGAGGAUCUGACUUUGGUUUCUAUUACAAGUAGAACUAGUUUUUGAAUUCACAUGUUAUUCUGGAUUUUCUUCAGUGCUUUAAAUAUCAUUCAUGCUAAACAACUGUAUGCAAUUUAUAUUUUCAGGGCGUUCGUUGUCAAAUAUUGUCAUCAACCUUGGAAUUCGCGACCAAUUUGCAGAUGCUUUAAGCCAGCUUGGUUUUGAUUUUGAAGUUUUAGCUGAACAGGUUAACUUGACAUUCGAUUUUCUUCUGUCCUCCUUUAUUGUCCUAAUCUUAGAUUAUUAUUAUUAGCAUAUCACGAUCCGGAAAAGUAAUUGUUUGUUUGCGAGGAGAAUUGAAUACAUCAAGUAUAUUUAUUGGAGAUCAUGUUGUGUGGUAGUCGGAGAUUUGAAACUAGGUGAAUCCAAUGGAUGGCCAUAUUCUUGGGAACCUAGAGCCACAAAACUGUAUGAUGUUAAGGUGUGCUCGUCCUUUCGAAACAGCCUCUCCUUGGAAUUAGAGCUCGAGGGAGAUCUCUGUUUGAACAAGUUAAAACUGAAUUCUUAAUCAUGUUGGAAGAAAGCUUUUCUUAUAUAUAUAUUGUACACUCAGAUAAUUAUUUACUUUCCUCUUUAUCUUAUUCAUUAUGAUAUUCUAAGGAAGGAGAUGCUUGCCUGGGUAAUGGAGGCCUUGCUCGUCUUUCAGCAUGUCAAAUGGAUUCUCUAGCAACUUUGGACUACCCUGCAGUGGGGUAUGCCUCUAUUCUAUAUUUUUCUUGUAAGAUUUGUGGAAGCAUUUCAAGUUAAAAGUAAUACAUAUAAGUCUUCCAUUAAGUAGGGGUACUGAAUCAUUAUCCAUACUGGCUUUGAAACCAAAAUGGAUUAUGGACCGUGAAGUUGACUGCUUAUCUUCUAAUUAGUAUUAGCUUAUUUAUAAUCUAUGCUAGUUUUCCUUUUUCAAAAUCAUUUAGCGAAUUCUUGCAUCAAAAUCAUGUCAUUUAGUUCAUGCAUAACUUGUAUAUCCUCAAACGAGUAUUGGCUUUUAUGUUUAAUAAUCUAAUUCUAGGGGAUUGUUUCUGCAGCUAUGGAUUACGCUACCAGUAUGGGUUGUUCCGUCAAGUUAUAGUGGAUGGAUUUCAACAUGAACAGCCUGAUUAUUGGUUAAAUUUUGGAAACCCUUGGGAGAUUGAGCGAGUUCACAUAACAUAUCCUGUAAAGGUUUGUAAGCACUUAGAUGUGUUCAAUUAUCUGUGGGAAUAUUGGAUGUUUGACUUUAUCUUUCUAUUCUUUUGCAAUUCUGUAUUGUUUACUAAACUUCUGUUCACUAUGUUUUUGGAUGGUAAAGUUCUAUGGGACGGUCACAGAUGAAUUUUUGAAUGGAGAGAAAUGUAAAGUUUGGGUUCCUGGAGAAAUGGUAAGGCUGUAAUUCUUUUCAUAAAUUGAAGCCUAGACAUUUGCAUAAAACUCUUUAUCCAUUAUUUAUACUCAUGGGCGAUGCAUGAUUUAAAUGAGUGCUAAAUUUAAGUGAAUGUGGUUGGCUUUUUUUAGCUUAGCAAUAUCUUCAUAUUCGUAGGUUGAAGCUGUGGCAUAUGACAAUCCAAUACCUGGUUAUGGAACAAGGAAUACCAUUAAUCUUCGCCUUUGGGCUGCGAAACCAAGUGAUCAACAUGAUAUGGUAAUUUCGACAAAGUCCAAUCAGUUAUGCAUGAGUUCUAUGCACACUUAGGUGGAUUAAACUAAAGUACGAAGAUCUGGCACAUAAAACUAAUUCUUAUGAUCUAGAUUCGCUAGAAAUGCUAUAGUUGGACUGAGCUAACAAUGCUGAUUUGGUAGCUUAAAACAUAGUCAUAUAUGCAAUCAUGUGUUUUUUUCUGUACGGAUCUCUUCUAUAUCCUACCCAUCAAGCUCUGCUUAGACAGCGAGGGAUUUGGAAAUCUUUUUGAAUAAUUUCUUUCAAUUGUUUUGGCUUAAUUGUUUUGAAACAUGCUUAAUCCAACUGAAGUGAUAUCAGUUAUUUGCUGUUUCAAUGUGCUUGUUUCUUUUAUCUUUCUUUUCUUUUUUUUUUCUUUAUUUCACUAUUUGCAUUUUGGAGAAUUAUAUUUUGGUGAGAGCUUAUGUUAGUAAGGUUAGCAUCUAUCCUGUCUUGUAUAGUCUUUGAGGCAGGUAUUUGAUGUCGGUUCUAGAAAGAUUUGUUAAUUAGUAAGAAUUUUGUAUAUUUCAGGUAUUUUGUUACUUUUAGUUUUAGAGACUUUAAUUUUUUGUAGGUGUUAUUUUGGAAAAUUCUUUAAGAUUCUGAUUUUUGGUUUUGUAUGAUAUUUAUUGCCAUACAUGCUUAUGGAUUCUUGUUAGUAUGCGACCUUGUUAUGUCUCAAAUUCUUGGGUUUGGAGCAUGGCAAUGCAGGAGUCUUUUAACACUGGGGAUUAUGUUGAUGCUGUAGUCAAUAGACAGAGGGCAGAAAGUAUUAGUAGCAUACUAUACCCCGACGAUCGUUCUUAUCAGGUGUGAUUGCUUUUCCUUAACUUGAUUGGUUACAUCAAGAUUAGAGUCUGCCUCAUCAAUUUUUUCAUGCUUCGUCUUCUAAAGUUUUUACUGCAAUUGUUUGAUUUAUGGGAAAUUAAAGGUACUUAGUCGGAGAUUAUUAAUGUUGCAUUCACUGAAAACUUGGUUGAAAUGUUUGCUAGGGGUUGAACAAAUAUGUUUCUUUGUCUUUCUGUAGAUCUACAUUCAUAUUUCUUUUUGGUGGUUUCUUUCAGGGUAAAGAAUUGCGGUUGAAACAGCAAUAUUUCUUUGUAUCCGCGUCAGUACAAGACAUCUUCAGAAGAUUCAAAGACACUCAUAAAAAAUUUGAUGAGUUUCCAGAGAAGGUUCUUAGCUGCAUGUUUCAUGUGUCUAUUAGUGCAGAAGCAUAUGUAGAGACACCUCAAAUCGGAUUAGUUUGUACUGAUCUGAUCAUGUAGUGAGGUGACAUGCCUUGGUUCUACCCUCCUGAAUCUUGUGUAACAUAGCUGUUCUCAAGGUUCUCUCAGGUUCUCAAUGUCACAUCCUUAACAAUUGAUUUGCUUUCAGAUGAUGGCAGUUGUGAGAUUUGAGUGAGGAAUCUUUCUCUAUACUGAGAAGGAUUUCUUUCCACUUUUAUUAUCAUCCCUAGGUUGAGUGCUGACUGCUGCUUGACUCCUGUUCUGUCAACUCCAAUUGCAUUUUAUAUAGGUUGCACUGCAGCUGAAUGACACUCAUCCAUCUCUUGCAAUAGCUGAGGUGAUGAGAGUGCUUCUGGAUGAAGAGCAUUUAAGCUGGCAUAGAGCAUGGGACAUCAUAUGCAAAAUAUUUUCGUUCACAACUCAUACUGUAUCACCUGAAGGACUGGAGAAAAUUCCUGUGGAUCUACUGGGCAACCUUCUCCCUCGACAUUUGCAGGUGUGUUUUGUUUGAAUUUUGCAAUGUACUUUCUUCUUUGAUAAAGUUUACCCGUUUCUUUGAAUUACUUUAUGUGAUUGAAAGCCUAAGUAAUUCUACUGGACAAGAUUCAUCUUACAAUAUUCUUUCAUUUAUAUCUGAUGUCAUAUGGUAUAAGCUUCAUCUUAAUAAUUUUCUUAACUACAGCAUCGUGCCUCCAAGGUACAGAAGCAUGCAUGUGGUUAAUUAUUAUUUUCCGCAUAACUCUUUCCUGUAUUACCACACUCCUUUAGAUUGUAAUUUAUUAGUUUGAUUGGUUGUCAACUUGUUUCGUACUAUUUUAGAAAAUUGCUCUUUUCAGAUUAUAUAUGACAUAAACUUCAACUUUGUGGAAGAGUUAAAGAAGAUGAUUGGUUUAGAUUAUGAUCGGCUGACCAGGAUGUCAAUUGUUGAGGAAGGUGCUGUGAAGGUAUAUAUCUCAAAUUUUAUGGGUUUCUAAAAUUUAUAUUGUGUUGAUGGAUUGCUAGAAUGUUAUGAAAAUUGAAGUCCAUAACCAUCCCUUUUGUCAGAAUAUUCGAAUGGCAAAUCUAUCAGUUAUUUGUUCUCAUACCGUGAAUGGUGUCUCCAGAUUACAUUCAGAGUUGUUGAGAACAAAAUUAUUCAAGGUAAAACUUAUAUUUGUUUUUUCCUGCUUAAACGUUGCCUUUCCUUGUAACAAGUUUGAAAUAGAACUCAGCUUCGAUGAAUGUCUUUAAUUAGUUGAUCUUAGUUGUUGUCUAUUAAUGCUUUUCAGGACUUUUAUGACCUAUGGCCGCACAAGUUUCAAUACAAAACUAAUGGGGUGACACAGGUUUAAAAUAAGUAACAGUUUUUUCAGUACAUUAACUUACUGAUAGGUUAAGUUGUUUCCUACCUGUAAAUAAAUUUUAGACUUGUUACUGUGAUGCUGUGAUGCAUCUUGCCCUGAUAACUAAAAGUACGCGAAUAAUUUAAAUUCACCUGCUGUGUAGUUAUUUUGAUCUCUUAAUAUUUGGUUUCUCAGCGUCGCUGGAUUGUUGUUAGCAAUCCUAGUUUAUGCGCUCUUAUCUCAAAAUGGCUUGGAACAGAAGCUUGGAUCCGUGAUAUUGACCUUUUAAUAGGCUUGAGAGACUAUGCAACUAAUGCUGAAUUGCAUCAAGAAUGGAAGAUGGUACUUUCAUAGUUGGCAUGCUUCACCUUUGAAACAAAACAUAUCAUUGGCUAUCUCAUUCAUUUAUUGUUAACUAUUAUCUCAUAGGUUAAGAAGGUCAACAAAAUAAGGCUUGCCGAGUACAUUGAAGCGAUGAGUGGUUUGAAGGUUUUGAAGAAAGCUAUAGUUUUUGCACCUACAUUUCUUUUUCCAUUUUUAAGGAGCUCUGAAAUGAUGUAAUGUUGGUGUGCAUUAUUUGUAAUGGGCAGGUCAGCUUGGAUGCAAUGUUUGAUGUGCAGACAAAGCGAAUACAUGAAUAUAAGCGGCAGUUGCUUAAUAUACUUGGCAUUAUCCAUAGAUAUGAUUGCAUCAAGGUUAACACCAUCUUUGGCUGAAAGAGCCAUGAAAACUUGUGGAAUUUAUCAAAUGCUUCUUUUUAUAUGCGCCUUUUUGAAUUGUCCGUGUAGCAAACUAACAACAUAGGUUUAAGUUAUUACCAUCCUGUUGCUGGAUGUUUGCAAGACCAACAAUUCCUUACUCAUUGUAAUAUGAGUUGAUUAACCAUUUCCUUAACCAUCAUCUUUUUGGCUUUGCAUAAAGAUGUUUAAGUAUUAGAAAUUGUACAUAUUUUCGAACAUUGUAAAAUAAGUUAAAAGAAUGUGUAACUCAGAGGUAUCUUUGCUCAUGCUAUUCUCAUUUGGUGCAGAAUAUGGACAAGAAUGAUAGGAAAAAUGUUGUACCACGGGUCUGCAUAAUUGGAGGAAAAGCUGCUCCAGGAUAUGAAAUUGCAAAGAAGAUUAUAAAACUCUGUCAUGUUGUGGCUGAAAGAAUCAACAAUGAUAAUGAUAUUGGAGAUCUUUUAAAGUUGGUAAGCUAGUAUUUAUUUUAUCUAGAAGUUCAAUGGAACUCUGAAGCGUGUAUUGUUUACUCAGAAGGGUGAGUAAUUUACCCUUAAAACAGAUAUAAUCAGCAACCAUGAUGAUGAAUUAAAGCUGCAAGGACCUUUAUAUUUGUCUUCUAAUAACAAAUCUGUCUUUCUAAGUCAUUAAGUAUUAUUGCAGGUCUUUAUCCCUGAUUACAAUGUUUCUGUUGCUGAGAUGGUAAUACCAGGGGCUGACCUUUCUCAACAUCUAAGGUAGUAUGCAUAAGUUUUGCACAUUAGAUGAUAUUAUCAAUUUCGUUAGCAGUUACAUUAUGUUUUGUAGUGAUUGCUGAUUGGGAUUUUUCUGUGGUCAACUAUUGGCUUCACUUAUAUAGAUAGAUCUAUUUGUCACUCUAAAGUUGUAUGCCUCCAUUUUACCAUUAAUUUGGGUCGAAAUAUUUUGGAAUCUUUUAGUAUUAAUUGUCAUUAAGCUUAUGUAUGAGCAGUUCAGAAUCACUAGGUUGAUGGAAUAAUAUAAUAUAAUAUAAUAUCCAGGUGAUUAAUUGGGGCAGAAUUAGUCUCUCCACAUUCUGAGCCCCGUUUUCCAGAAUUAAAAAAAAAAAAACCUGCUUCCACUCAACUUGUCUACUUCUGAUGUAUACUUCUUUUACUUUCUGAUCCAGCACUGCAGGACAUGAGGCAUCAGGAACUGGCAGCAUGAAAUUCUUGAUGAACGGAUGUUUACUUUUAGCCACAGCAGACGGUUCUACAAUUGAAAUGGUUGAAGAAAUAGGUCAGGAUAACAUGGUAAGUGCUAAAUCAACAGUCAUACAAAUGAAUCAAGGUAAAAGUACCAUGAAGUCCUCUAUAUUAGGAGUCAGAUUGUAUUUUACCUCCUCUACUCAAGAAAUGAGCAAAUUAGUCACUCUACAUUAGAUCAAAGAGCAAACUGGUCCUUUUAUAGAAAAUUUCAUCCAUUUUUGCUGUUAAAAGUUGGUCUCUGUACGUUAGCAUGAGGUACACAUGGCAUGUCACAUGUCACUGUCUAGUUAUUUCAUCAAUCAUGCCAGUUUUUAAUAGUACAAAAGAAUGAAAUUUUUAAUAGAAAGGACCAAUUUGCUCUUUAAUCUAAUGUAUAGGGACUGGUUUGCCUAUUUUUUUAGUAGAGGAGGCGAAAUGCAAUCCAACUCUUAGUACAAGAGCCUCCAUGGUACUUUUACAAUGAAUUAACAAUAUUAGUUGGAGUAGAUUUUGAUAACAUUUCUUUCAGUUCCUGUUUGGAGCAAAAGCGCAUGAAGUUGUUGCAUUGCGCAAGAAAGGACCCACUCUUAAAGUUCCUCUUCAGUUUUCGCGUGUUGUAAGGUAUUAUACCCCUUCAUUCUACGUAAUGUAUAGCUUUAUCAGUACGUUGCAUCUUAGUUUCUCUGUAAAGGAGAGUAUAUGUAUCCUUGCUUUUCUUAUACAGAGGUAGAGUUGAUUUAGAUAUUAUUGGUUUAAAUUUCAAGUGAUUUGAGUGGCAUUGUGUAACUAUUAUAUGUAGGAUGAUCCGAGAUGGUCAUUUUGGAUUUGAAGACUAUUUCAAAUCUUUGUGCGACAAGAUAGAGGGCACGAGUGACUAUUUUCUUCUUGGUGCCGAUUUUAUGAGCUAUCUAGAGGCCCAGGUAAAUAGUUGGUUUUCCAUCAGUUAGAAAUAAGAAUGCCUUGUAAAAGGGAAUUGCAUUUUAAUUGUGGACUGUGUUGAGAUGAACAGGCAGCCGCCGAUAAAGCGUUCGUUGAUGAAGAGAGAUGGACAAAAAUGAGUAUACUUAGCGCAGCUGGCUCUGGGAGAUUUAGCAGUGAUAGGACAAUCCAAGAGUAUGCUGAAAACACUUGGGACAUUCAACCUUGCAGAUGUCCCUUUUGAUUUGGGAAGUGAGAGCUACUCGAAAUAGAAUGAAGCUCUCGCAAUGUCAUGUGCGGGGCUUCUCUAUUUAUUAAUAAAAUAAAACGAAUUGAAUCGAAUAAAAUUACAAUGAAUAAUAACAAUGUUUCUAAAACUAAUAAUAGAAAAUAAUCAAAGCAUUCAAAAAUAUUUGAGUUGGAGCUUGACAUAAAUAUUGUUGUUGAUAGGACCUUAUAAAUGUUUAUUUAAAAAAAUUCAGACGGAAACCUAUUGCAAACUUUUUUGCCCAUUUCAAACAAUUUUGAUUUUGGACGAAUUAUAAUAAUUUCUUCUCUUUUCCUUUACCAGAAAGAUAUACCUUGUCUUUUUCGUAAAUAGAAUUAACUUUAUUCAACUGAUUUUUGUUUGGUUGUUCAUACUUCAUGAAAUAACAAUUUUCUCCUGGAUUCUACAAGCUUCGAUUACCCGCCACUAUUUCUGUUUACUUCUUCCGAGAAGAAAAAAGGAGGAAAGAUAGAAAAAAAAAAAAAGGUUGUUUAGAAGAGGCAGUAAUGGCGGUUAAUAUGAUUCUCCUUCCCUCCAUUUUCAGUUUUUUCUUCUUCCUCUUCUUCUUCUUCUUCUUCUUGUCACUCACAUCUCAAGAUGAACAAAGUAACAACCACAAUCUCUUGAUCCUUGAAUUGCGCGACUCCAAGCUCAAGAUCUCUCGUUUGGGUAAAAUUUCUUUUUUAUUUCUUCAUUGAUAAAUAAAUACCUUACUUAGAGUUUCCAAACAAACACUGAUCUUAACCUCGAUUCCUUGACUAUUGUAAAAUAUGGAUGCAGAAUCUGUUCUUGAAGAAAGAAUUCAAAACCUUAAUGCUAAAACCCUUUCUGUUAAGGAACACGGGAAAUCCCUCGAGGACAUGGCAAACAAGAGCACUUAUCUGCAGUCUGCUCUAUUUGAUCUUAAGGUUCAAUUCUUUCCUAAGAAGCUUUGCUUUUGUUUUUAGCUUUGUUUUCAUUUGUAUGUUACUCGGGUUUAUUUGGAUUGAAUGUCUUCUCCCUAUUGAUGUCUCAAAAUGAAAAAAAAAAAGGGGGGGGGGCUGCUUUUGAAAGCAGAAAAUUGAAUUGUGGUACGGUUUAUUCACUUAGUAAUCUUGUUCCAAAAAUACAUAGCAUAUUGACAUGUGAUUUUGCAAUUUCUAAAUGUAUAUAGCAUAUUGACAUGUUAUUUUGCAAUUUCUAAAUUGUAGGAUUAUUCAUUUCUUGCUGAUGAAAAAAGCUUAACGCUCUGGAAGAGGAGGUUCGUUUUAAAUGCUUCUAUAAAUAUAAUCGCUCUUUCAAACUUUUUUUCGUCCUAUUUGAUUCCUUGUCAUGUUUGUACGGGUGAGUGGCAAGAAAUAUUUGCUUUAGUGCAAUUCAACUUAGUACCAGGCUUCAUGAUCCUAGGUACACGGCCUUUGGGCUGUUUCGAGAAAGAACAAUUUUGAUCUUCAUGUUUUAGAGUUGAAAGCACAGGACGCCGAGGAUAGACUGGAAGCUGUUACUUCAUAAGUUGGAAAGGUUAGCAUUUACAUUCGUUAAUUUUGUUUCUGUAUAGAGACUCUGCUUGUAAAUGAUGAGGGCUUCGUCUUUGUUUUUUUUUUUUUUGGGGUACUAUUAUAAUAUGAGGUGAACCCUAAACCCUGGGGUGUCAACAAGAGAGCAUCAAUCACUGCUCCAAGGGGAUGUUGGUGAGGGGUUUUUCUUGUUUGUCAUACACCAUGACCAUCUAAUGCUGAAUGACUAAGCAUUUCUUCAUAUUAUAACGUUAUAUAAUCUAUAAUAAACUUUAAUGCCUCGUUUAGUUAUCUAGUGUAUUAACACAAGGAAAAGCUUACUACAUAAGUAUUAAAGUAGUUUGUCAUAACAUAUAGUGUAUAUUUAAACUUGAAAUUAGAAAGAUAAGUAGAACUCUAGUAAAAAAUAGGACCUCUUCAAAAUAAGAAAAAAAAAUUCUUUCUCAUUGCUCAAAACAAGUUGUGCUAGUGGUUAAAAAUUACCAUCUGAAGUUAGUUAGUUUGUAACUCAUGUACUAAGACAUGAAGAAAUAAUAUUCCUACCGAACGUAGCAUAAGAGUUUCAUCAAUAACUGCAAGAAUGCUUUAAGCACCUAUUUGCUGCUGUUCCAAUUAUUGAAGUUUGUGUUGCCUCAUUUCUAGAUUUAAAUAUCCUUGUUGGGUUGGGAGAGGUUUUGUUGGGUUGGUCAUCAGGUAUUAUGCUUUAGGUACCAGUCACUGGCUCAACGCUAAGCUGUAUUUCUUUAAAUGGAAGAGAAAUAUUAUAUCCUCAUAUUCUUUCUAAGUUGUUAAUGAAAAUGACCAUAUUUUAUCAGAACUCUUUCUUGGUUAUUUGAACUUUCUUUUGAUUGUUGAUGUGUAAAAGGCUUGAAAACUUGUUUAUUCCCUAUUGGUUUUAUUAUCUCUUGAUAUAACUAAUAUUGAAAUAAUUUGUAUUUUACUCACUCAAAGUUCCAUUCCCUUGCAUUUAGAUGGCAGAAGUUGUUACAGAACAAUGGGUUCAAAUUCAACAUCUUGAGCAGGCACUUCAAAUUGCUAAAGUAUGGUCUUAGGCCCUAAUGAUAUCAGUUAUUUGUUAAACUCAGGGAAAUUUGAAAGAAAAUGAAGAUAAAGGUUUUUCUCAUUAUAAUUAUCCUUUAUUUGCAUCAUUUCUUUGUGUUACAGAUGAGGGCAUUGCAAGCUCAAAAGCAAAGGAAUAUGAGAUGCACAUUCUUGAAGGUAAGAUAAUAAGUUGACAGUCUUUCAGACCUCUUCUUUUCCUCAGUCUCUGUCCCUUUAAAUUACUGUAAAUUUUAUCUUUGUAUAUCAAAGCAUCAGCAACAGUUAUAACUUUUAUAGUUCCUUUUAGUUAAGGAAAAAAUACUUUGUCAUAUGCUCGUGUUUCAUGUUAGUCAUAAGAUAAUCUAAUCUUGUAUGUGAAUAGUUCAUAGAUGGCAUUUCUGGAAGACAUCUCCCGAAGCCGUUCAAGGCCUUGGAUUCUUAUUCAUUGGGAAAAGGACCUAUCAUAAGAUACUACGUGUCUUAAGCUCUGCAACAAUUGAAAAGAUUUUACUCAGCAAUUAGAAGGUUUCACCCUGAGGUAUGUUUGAUACUGCAUGACUUUCUAGAUUCUUGUCUGAAAAAUAAUGGUGUCACUCUUGAAGGUCUUCACAUGUCAAAACUUACUUGACAUUACCUUUGUGAAGUUUCCAUUAAAAAAAAGUGGUCAAGAAACAUUUGAAUUUCAGUAUUGCGCUUGCCUCUAUCAACACCUCUUCCACUCUCCUUAGCAAUUUGACACAGAAGACUGUAAGAUAUAAUGGCUUCAAGAUUGCAGAAUCUCUUUCUUUUACUAAGUUCUGAAACUUAUUAUGGAAACUUUUGGUCUUUUCCAGCCUAAAAAAUGGAAAAUCGGUGGGUUGAUUGGUCAUGUAAAUAAGACCGAGUAUUCGUGGAAUUAUAGUUCUAUCAGCCAAGAAGAGUAUAUUAUGAACCUUAAACUAUGUACCUACAUAGACUUUGAACCUUAAUUGGCCCGUUAUCAGAUGUGAAUGUUGCCUUGAAUGAUAUUAACCAUACUUAACUUUUAUUACCAAGGCACUGAAAUUGCUUGUAAGAGAAGGAUAAUAAUUGUCUUGCACUUUCAACUUGAAAUUCUCUGCGUACAAUCAUCUCUGUUGGAUGUAUGCAGACAUGAAUUCUGCAAUCUUGUGCUUUAGUUCAGAAUAUUAUUUAGUAACAAUUCAAUUUCCUCCAAUGCACAGAAUUUGGCCUGCUUUACAAUUGAAGGAGUUAAAUUAGCAGCAUGUUAAAUUUCUUCCAUCUGUCUCCUUUGUGCUCAUCAGAGGUUCCAGUUUACAAGUUAAUAUGCAUUAGUUUUAGAAAAUAUUGGCCAAGUACAAAGAAGUAUAUCCCUUCCCUAGGAACCUCUGGCUUUCCAAGAAAUAAAUGUUUUCUGUUUGUUUGCAGUUGCAAGCUUUCAUCAAAUAGGAGAUGCAAAGAAAUGAACUUACUGCUGCUUUUGUCAAUGAUGAACUGGUAUUCUUUCUGGUAUGUUCUUGAGUACCAGCUGCCAUCUUCUGUACAUGAAGAUUUACUUGAAUUGCUGGUAUAAUUCAUUUUAUGGUAUUUCAGGCUUCUGCUUUCAUUACCUUCCCUAUACUGGGUUCUUGGAUGCUGCUUUUAACAUAGUUCAGCUAGGUGAAGAAAUCUUCUUUUAGGGGGUAGUGUCUUACCCUGAAAUAGUAGGUGACAUCCAAGCUGUUGCACUUUGUUUUCUCUGAUCUCUUUUACAGAUUGGUUUUUGAUAUUAAAAGGUGAAAGAAGAGUUAGACACAUUACUGCGUACAGCACCGGGUCAUUUUGUUGCCAAUGAGUCAAUUUUACAUGGAAGUAUUCCAGGGUCCAGAUCAAUACAGUAUGAUAUUCAUUGACCCAAAUGUUGAUUUUUGAGGCUUAAGAUAUUUGCAUCUAUUUGUAGCCUAAUCAAAAUUGGAGUCGAUCAUUGAAUUGAUUGUGUACAAAGAUACGCAGACAUUUACACACUGGGAGCGUUUCACGUCCAUGACAAUUUUAGUCAUUUUCUUUAAAAAAAAAUGUUGGGAUUUGAAUUUUAAAUCUUUUUUUCUUAAAAAGUUGGUUUCGGUAACGCCGUUGAUGAAACUAAAGAACAGCCGUGGCAUCCAUGAGUGAAGAUUAACUAUUAAACAAAAACAAAUGAGGAAAGUGGUGAGGAGGAAUCCCAGAUUUUUGUUAAAAGAAAAAGGAAAACGUGAAUUCAUUCAUGAUUCAUCAUCUCUCUGUAGUCGGUCAUCAUGAAAUCAACGUAAAGAAAGGCAAAUGGCAGGCGAUAUGGCAAUUCCUUGAUGAAGGUAUUUCAAGCCUUGCAAAAAAACAAAAACUUCCUUUGUUUCUUUUUCUUUUUUUUGUCUCCUUCCGAAGUCACAAGGCUAAUCCAUAAUUGAGACUGAAAAAAGCAAAAAUGGAAGAGUCGACAUGGGAGCAAAAGCUCCAGGCUCUAACCCACAUCCUAACAAGCCCCACAACCUCACCGCCUCUCCACUCUCAACUCUUCAUCUCCACACAAAUACCAUGUUUCCUCAACUGGGAUUUCCCUCCAAUUCUCUGCAAUAAACCCAACUCCCAUACCUUCCCUUCUCUCCACCUGAAAUGGGGAAUCUCUCUUUUCCUCAGAAGGGUCUCAAGAUUGGGUGUCCCCGAAACUUCCUGGAGGUCCAAGUGCCCUUACUAUCAGCCCCCACCACUGAUUCUGGCCAAGGGAGUGGAUGAAGCACAAUGGGUCGAUGCGCAAAAGCGAGAGUAUGUUAGGAAGAGGCUGAGAAGGAAACGCCUAGAAAGCCAUGUCCACCCUUUAAUUCCGAUUUUGAUUCCCGAUUUAUUAUUGUUCUCCCUGCUCUGGUUCAAUCCAUUUCCUCUUAAUGAUUCCUGACAAUUUUCCUUGUCUCAGAAUUGUAUAAUAAUAAGUACAUAACUCUUAUGUCUUAUCACUUCUCUUGUCAACGUUGGAUCAUUUUAUUUACUUUGGUCGAUUUCGGAUUUCUUUCUCGGUAGCACUGUUGUUUGCCUUAUCAAAAUCUCUACUCUCAGAAAUUUUUCUUUCUUUUAUAGAAGAUGAUGAUGAUGAUGAUGAUGAUGAAAAGGGGCUUAAAUUGAGGCCCCAAGUAAAUUAAUUAGAAGCUACAACAUCAUAAAGCAAAAUCAGUAAUAAAGAGUUCUGAUUCACUUUGCUUAAUAUAGAAUUUACCUUUGCCAGUUAAGCCCGCCUGUAAUUUUGGUUAACGUCUAAACAUGCAUUUAUUUAUUUAUUUACAACUUACCUCAUUAAUUUUCUCCCCAUGUAUAACCCACCAAACUCCAACUGCACUACCUGAAACUCUUUAUUCGGUUUAGUUAAAUCUGGCCUCCACUUUACCACAACAUAGUGGGGCUGGCCAUCGCCUCCACUUUAUUCAAUACAUUCAGCUUCUAGAAUUCCAAAAACAAUACAUCAUGAUUUGUUUAUUAUGUUACUUUAAUUUUUUUUCCCCUUUUCGUCUAGUCUUGUUUUAUAUUAGCAGUGUUGAUCGUUGAUAAAGGUUGAAGUUUCGGAUUUUAAUGUUUGAGUUUAAGUUCUACCAUCUAUAAUUGCAAUACGGGUCUCUCUUACCUUGUGUAUAUGCGGUGUGUUUUAUCUAAUUAUUUUUAGAUUUUACUAUGUUUUUGUUCAGUUCUUCAUCUAUUAUGAAUUGCAUCAGUUGAAUUUUACGUUAUAAUUUAUUGAACAUAUAUUUAUUUUUGUCUUCUAAUUGUACAAUUUUUAUACCAGUGAAUUUUUUUAAAAAAAAUCAUGUGAUUAUGGAAUAUACGACAUAUAUUUAUGAAAUUUUAAGAAAAGAAAAAAAGAAAUGUUAAGUAUACACCAUUUUCAGUCACAUUAGAAUCCUGUUAAUACAUUAUUUCUACGGCUUCUACAUCACUAAACUGAUGAUCACAUUGGAUACUACCUUUUCUUUUCUUUUUGACUUAAUAGUAUUAAUGGUUUUCGAGUUUGGCAAACAUUUUUUUUCAAAAUUGGGUAGGAUUCGAUGGCCAGAUUGAUACAAUCUUUGUACGGCCGAAACGCUUCCCUACCGUUAAUCAAGCAACCAAACUUCACUUAAUCCAAGGAAAAGAAGAAAAGCAAAAAGUAAAAGCCAAAAGAAAAAUUAUUCAAUUGAUUGGUCAAACACUAACGUUGACAAUAAAGCUUCUUUUUUUUUUUAACUCUCUACCAUUGAUCUUUUAUUCCACCCCUUCCUUACAGCUUUUUGUUGUUGUUGUUUUCUAAAACAGAACCUCAUAAUAUCAGACAUAUUGGGACUCUGAAAAUUCAACCUUCAGGGAGAAAAAAUCCUUCUUGUUUCCAUUAUGUUUAUUUUGUUAUAGAUGGAGGCAUCGGUGCUUGAGUUGUGAAUGCAUAAGCAUGAACCAUAAAGUUCAAUCAAGAUAUGAGGAGAAUCUUCUUUUUCCUUUAUCUUUGCUUUUCUGUUUUUCCUUUGUUGAUGGCGCCAAACGUAGUCUUAAAGUAUAUUAGAUACAUCUGGUGACCAACAUUCAAUUAUAAUAAAGAGUAUAGAUAGAUACAUCAAUACUAUCCAGCCCUCUUUCAUGAUGAUGUUGCAAGUUUUGCACUCCACCCCCAUAUUAUUAUGAAGAGGAGAAAUUCCUGUUAGUUGAGCUUUAUUUUCUAAGAAAUGACUUCUAACAUUAAUAAAUUUGAAUCAUGAUAUAUUUAUAGCUAUUUCUCUUACUCUCUCGUAUUAUAGCUUUCUUUAUAUGCUAAAACAGGAGAUGAGUAGGAAGAAACAAUUUUUGUUAAAAGACGUGAAGUUGUCUUAAGAUUGACAAGGCAGUUAGAUGCAUUUAAAUUGGUAUUUAAGGAUAUGUCUGUAUAUAACUAGAACUAAUUAAGAUUACAAUACACUGCAAAAUGAUUCCACCUUUUUUUUUGGGGGGUUCUCUCUUUUAUAUGAUCAAAUACAAUGUUGAUAUGAACAAGGUUUUGCAGUUGUAGAAAAUCGUGGAGGACUUUUUUUUUUACAAAAAAGAAAGAUAAAAUUCAUAAAAAAUGUGAAGUUAAGCAUAUUUAGCGACGGGUGGGGUAUGGGGUGGUUUGCUAACAUGGAAUGCGCAUGGCAGAUUGGCACUUUAAAGAAGGGAUGGGGCCGAGGGGGCGGGAGUUGUUAAAUCCUCGGGGUAGAAAAAGGUAAGUAAGCGUGUCCCUGGCAUUAGACAAGGAGUAGAGGGGGCAGCACAUGCACAGCAUAACUAUAUCUCUUUAUUUUAUGUCCCACUCCACUCCCCCUCAUCUCUGCCGCAACAUUAAAUACCAUAUGCAUCCUUACUAUUCAUAAUGGUUUUUUGUUGGGUUGAUGUUACAAAAUUACAAUUUUACUAUAGAUGUAUUUAUAAUAUUUAAGAUUUUUUUAAGUAGGAGUUUAAUCUUUGGUGGUGAUGUUGAUUUUAGAUAUAUUCCCCACCCGCAAGUAGAUAUCAUACAUUCUAAUAUAAUUAAAAAUGGUAUAAUUAAAAUAUUUUUAAUAUUUUUAAUAUUAUUUUUAUAUUUUUGAAUUUUUAAAUUUUAAAAAAUUAAUUAAAUGUUGGUGCGUCAUCUACAUGUAUGCAACGGCGAAGCUUAAAAAAUAUUAAUUUUUUUCAUUCGUGAUUUGACAAAAAAAAGUAAGUUUAAAGGCUAAAAAAGCAUAAAUUUAAAUAAAUAGCUAAAAUAAUUUUUUUACAAAGUUAGAGAGCCAAAUAAAUUAUUAUUUUAUUUAAAAAUAUUUUUUUAAUAAAUUAUUAAUUUAGUCACAUAAUCUAAUAUAAUUUAAUUCAAACCCGUUGGUUCCAUCAACAAAUUGAUCUGCAUGAGACUUAAGGGUUAGAAUUUGGUGCGUAACUCUUUUUCCUCCUAAUUUUUACUUUUAAAAAGAAAUUGCAAUACAAUUUUUUUAUUAUAGAAUUCUCCAAUUUUUAUUUAUUUAUUUGAUCAGGAAGCUUUAUUGACACUGCUUUUAUUUUUCCAUCAAUCCAAUUUAAGAGACAAUUCACUUUUUAUAAUUAACAAAAAACAAAAAGAAAAUAAAAGAAAUUACUUUUUCCUUUUUCGUGUUCGAUACAAGAUAGAUGAAAUAUGGAAAAUAAAAUGCAAUGAAAAUAUAUUAUUAGUGAUAUAUCACCUCCAUUAUGUAGGGGAAAGAAAUAAAAAUAAUAUUAAUUUAUGAUACUUUCAUAAUGUGGUUAAAAAUAAUUAUCUAGUAUUUUUUUGUAAAAAAAAAGGAAAGUUGAUAUCUAUGCUACUAAUGAAGUUUCUUAGUGAGUUUGUUACUAAUCAUAUUCGAAUUUUAAAAAUUGUGAAUUUUUAAAAAAUAAGUUAUUUAUAUAACUAGUAAUAUACUAUUUUGACUCUUUUUUUAUCCGAGUUAAUGUUAGUUAUCUCGUGAUACCAAUUCAAUAAAACACUUUAUUUAUAUUAAAUUAAUAUAGGUGAGAAGUAAAAUUAUUUAACAAAUAUAUUCUUAAAAAUACUAAAGGAGGUUUUGGUUGAAUAGCAAAAUAUAAAUAUUACAAAUUAUAAAGAUGUAGGUUCAAUAUUUUUACUAUUUUUCUAUAUAAAAUGAUAACCUUAUAAAAGUAGUUUGUGGUUGAUGGACUAAUUUUUUAAAAAGAAUUAAUAUUAGUAAAGAUAUAUAUGGUACUAAACAUAAGGAAAUAGGGGAAAACGUAUCAUAUUUGUAGUGGGAGAAUGGGAUCAUUACAAGGAAAAAUGAAAUAUAUAUCAUUAACAACAAACAUAAAAGAAAGCGUCUUUUGAUAAAGUUGUUAUUGGUGUAAUGUGAAGGGACCACAAUCAUCACCAUUCACCACUUGCUCCUAAUUGAGUUGAAAUCUUUUUACAACAUAGAAAACUAGAACAUCUCCCUUUCUUGCUUCCUAUAUAUAGAUUUUGUAUCAUCGCAAUUCCACAUCACACACGCAAGCAAAGCAAAGCAUUAGCAACCAUAGCCAUGGCUUCCUCACCAAAACUCUUCUCUAUGUCUAUCCUCUUCCUUUUUGCCCUCUUCUCCAUGCAAAUCCAUGCUAGAGAGUACUUCAGCAAAUUCCCAAGAGUUAACACCAAUGAGAAAGAGACAACAACCAGAGAGCAAGAGCACGAGACCUUCGUUCCCCAGACCACCCAAAAGCCAGAAGAGCAAGAGCCAAGGUUCAUCCCUGAAACCCAAAAUGGUUAUGGCCUUUACGGCCACGAGUCAGGCUCAGGCUCAAGCCGGCCCAGUUUCACCACCAAAGAAACCUAUGAACCCUAUGUCACCCCUGUUAGAUUCCACCCUGAUGAACCCUAUAACAGCAUCCCCGAAUCCUCCAACAAUAAAGACACUUACUACUACAACAAGAAUGCCUACAAGUCCACUAAGCAGCAAAACUUGGGCGAGGCCAUUUUCACCGAGAAAGGAUGGAGCACCAAGGAAAACCAGAACAACAACUACUACAACGGCAACAUUAAUGGCGAGAAGCAAGGCAUGAGCGAUACUAGGUACUUGGAGAAUGGAAAGUACUACUAUGACGUCAAGAGUGAGAACAGCUAUUAUCCAAACCAGCUCGACAACUCAAGAGGAGUUGCUUCCAGGAACGAGUUCGAUGAGAAUCGUUACAACAACAUGGGAAGGUACCACCAGAACCAAGAGGAGUUCGAGGAAAGCGAGGAAGAGUUCGAACCCUGAUCACCUGUCGUACAGUAUUUCUACAUUUGAUGUGUGAUUUGUGAAGAACAUCAAACAAAACAAGCACUGGCUUUAAUAUGAUGAUAAGUAUUAUGGUAAUUAAUUAAUUGGCAAAAACAACAAUGAAGCUAAAAUUUUAUUUAUUGAGCCUUGCGGUUA
Molecule: long non-coding RNA, 18461 nt
Filed under: Gossypium barbadense (sea-island cotton)
Lineage: Eukaryota; Viridiplantae; Streptophyta; Magnoliopsida; Malvales; Malvaceae
Description: long non-coding RNA (GBAR_LNC016096)
Rfam family: MIR7502 microRNA precursor family (bases 7104-7248)
Source: RNAcentral